AACGAACGCUGGCGGCAUGCCUAACACAUGCAAGUCGAACGAGACCUUCGGGUCUAGUGGCGCACGGGUGCGUAACGCGUGGGAACCUGCCCUUAGGUUCGGAAUAACUCCCCGAAAGGGGUGCUAAUACCGGAUAAUGUCUUCGGACCAAAGAUUUACCGCCUUUGGAUGGGCCCGCGUUGGAUUAGCUAGUUGGUAGGGUAAAAGCCUACCAAGGCGACGAUCCAUAGCUGGUCUGAGAGGAUGAUCAGCCACGCUGGGACUGAGACACGGCCCAGACUCCUACGGGAGGCAGCAGUGGGGAAUAUUGGACAAUGGGCGAAAGCCUGAUCCAGCAAUGCCGCGUGAGUGAUGAAGGCCUUAGGGUUGUAAAGCUCUUUUACCCGGGAUGAUAAUGACAGUACCGGGAGAAUAAGCUCCGGCUAACUCCGUG
RNAcentral lists this ribosomal RNA (433 nucleotides) under uncultured bacterium. RNAcentral describes it as "partial 16S ribosomal RNA". It matches the Rfam family "Bacterial small subunit ribosomal RNA", at positions 29 to 507 of the family's 1533-position model. The record is from RNAcentral.